AGUGAACGCUGGCGGUAGGCCUAACACAUGCAAGUCGAACGGCAGCACAGUAAGAGCUUGCUCUUACGGGUGGCGAGUGGCGGACGGGUGAGGAAUACAUCGGAAUCUACUUUUUCGUGGGGGAUAACGUAGGGAAACUUACGCUAAUACCGCAUACGACCUACGGGUGAAAGCAGGGGAUCUUCGGACCUUGCGCGAUUGAAUGAGCCGAUGUCGGAUUAGCUAGUUGGCGGGGUAAAGGCCCACCAAGGCGACGAUCCGUAGCUGGUCUGAGAGGAUGAUCAGCCACACUGGAACUGAGACACGGUCCAGACUCCUACGGGAGGCAGCAGUGGGGAAUAUUGGACAAAGGGCGCAAGCCUGAUCCAGCCAUACCGCGUGGGUGAAGAAGGCCUUCGGGUUGUAAAGCCCUUUUGUUGGGAAAGAAAAGGAGCAGGUUAAUACCCCGCUGUUCUGACGGUACCCAAAGAAAAAGCACCGGCUAACUUCGUG
This 492-nucleotide ribosomal RNA is filed under the name uncultured bacterium. RNAcentral's name for it is "partial 16S ribosomal RNA". It matches the Rfam family "Bacterial small subunit ribosomal RNA", at positions 29 to 507 of the family's 1533-position model. The record is from RNAcentral.